GAUUUCUAUUUGGUUGCUUGGAUUCUGCAUGUUGGGGAUAAGAUUAUCCUGACAACAUCCUCAUGCACAGCGUGUGGACAUUGAGAUUAAAGAUCAACAGAGCUUUAUUGCAGUUUGGGAGAAUGAGAGUUGAGAUUUCUAUUAGGAGUGCCGUUGUGUGAAGUUUGUGAAGGACUUAUUAAAAUGUGUCAGACAAGUUACAGAGUGA
This is a non-coding RNA of Pelobates cultripes (western spadefoot toad), 208 nucleotides long. Lineage: Eukaryota; Metazoa; Chordata; Amphibia; Anura; Pelobatidae. The record is from the annotation of a GenBank genome assembly.